UAAGUAGAAGCUAAAUUAUAGCGCCUAGCUGUUAAUUAGGAGUUAGUAAAUUAAAGUUUUACCUACUUAG
This 70-nucleotide transfer RNA is filed under the name Petrasma pervernicosa. RNAcentral's name for it is "Solemya pervernicosa tRNA-Asn". It matches the Rfam family "tRNA". From Rfam's summary of the family: Transfer RNA (tRNA) molecules are approximately 80 nucleotides in length. Their secondary structure includes four short double-helical elements and three loops (D, anti-codon, and T loops). Lineage: Eukaryota; Metazoa; Mollusca; Bivalvia; Solemyida; Solemyidae. The record is from RNAcentral.